UACGUAGGGGGCAAGCGUUAUCCGGAUUUACUGGGUGUAAAGGGAGCGUAGACGGCAGGGCAAGUCUGAUGUGAAAGGUCGGGGCCCAACCCCGGGACUGCAUUGGAAACUGUCCGGCUGGAGUACAGGAGAGGUAAGUGGAAUUCCUAGUGUAGCGGUGAAAUGCGUAGAUAUUAGGAGGAACACCAGUGGCGAAGGCGGAUUGCUGGACAGUAACUGACGCUGAGGCGCGAAAGCGUGGGGAGCAAACAGG
Molecule: ribosomal RNA, 253 nt
Filed under: uncultured bacterium
Lineage: Bacteria
Description: partial 16S ribosomal RNA
Rfam family: Bacterial small subunit ribosomal RNA
Source: RNAcentral